UCCCAGACUCCUACGGGAGGCAGCAGUGAGGGAUAUUGGUCAAUGGGGGAAACCCUGAACCAGCAACGCCGCGUGAGGGAAGACGGUUUUCGGAUUGUAAACCUCUGUCCUCUGUGAAGAUAAUGACGGUAGCAGAGGAGGAAGCUCCGGCUAACUACGUGCCAGCAGCCGCGGUAAUACGUAGGUGGCGAGCGUUGUCCGGAUUUACUGGGCGUAAAGGGAGCGUAGGCGGGCUUUUAAGUGAGAUGUGAAAUACUCGGGCUCAACUUGAGUGCUGCAUUUCAAACUGGAAGUCUAGAGUGCAGGAGAGGAGAAUGGAAUUCCUAGUGUAGCGGUGAAAUGCGUAGAGAUUAGGAAGAACACCAGUGGCGAAGGCGAUUCUCUGGACUGUAACUGACGCUGAGGCUCGAAAGCGUGGGGAGCAAACAGGAUUAGAUACCCGCGUA
RNAcentral lists this ribosomal RNA (446 nucleotides) under uncultured bacterium. Its description in RNAcentral is "bacterial SSU rRNA". It matches the Rfam family "Bacterial small subunit ribosomal RNA", at positions 329 to 792 of the family's 1533-position model. The record is from RNAcentral.